Molecule: ribosomal RNA, 426 nt
Filed under: Candidatus Colwellbacteria bacterium RIFCSPHIGHO2_12_FULL_44_17
Lineage: Bacteria; Candidatus Colwelliibacteriota
Description: bacterial SSU rRNA
Rfam family: Bacterial small subunit ribosomal RNA
Source: RNAcentral
GAGAAUUUGAUCCUGGUUCAGGAUGAACGCUGGCGGCGUGGAUAAGGCAUGCAAGUCGUGCGUCUUUAUUCCGUGUUGUAGCAAUACAACAUGGAAUGAGGUAGCGGCGAACGAGUUAGUAACACCAUGGUAACCUACCCUUAAGCGGGGCAUAGCUUGCCGAAAGGCGAGGUAAUACCCCAUAGCAAUGCGGGGACAUAUGUCAUUCGCAUUUAAAGAUCAUCGCAAGAUGAAUCACUUUUGGAGGGGCCUAGGUCUGAUCAGCUAGUUGGUAAGGUAAUGGCUUACCAAGGCUAUGACCAGUAGGGGGGCUGAGAGGCUGAUCCUCAACGACGGAACUGAGACACGGUCCGUACACCUACGGGUGGCAGCAGUCGAGAAUAUUCGACAAUGGGCGAAAGCCUGAUCGAGCGACGCCGCGUGCAG